ACCCUUUAAGGGUCCUGAAGGAACGUUGAAGACGACGACGUUGAUAGGCCGGGUGUGUAAGCGCAGCGAUGCGUUGAGCUAACCGGUACUAAUGAACCGUGAGGCUUAACCUUACAACGCCGAAGGUGUUU
This 131-nucleotide ribosomal RNA is filed under the name Escherichia coli O157:H7 str. K5460. RNAcentral's name for it is "partial 23S ribosomal RNA". The stretch from base 1 to 113 matches the Rfam family "Bacterial large subunit ribosomal RNA", at positions 2815 to 2925 of the family's 2925-position model. The record is from RNAcentral. Lineage: Bacteria; Pseudomonadati; Pseudomonadota; Gammaproteobacteria; Enterobacterales; Enterobacteriaceae.